GCUCUAGUGGUGCAAUGGUUAAGCACUUGGCUGCUAACCAAAAUGUUGGUGGUUUGCACCCACCCAGCGGCU
RNAcentral lists this transfer RNA (72 nucleotides) under Loxodonta africana (African savanna elephant). It matches the Rfam family "tRNA". From Rfam's summary of the family: Transfer RNA (tRNA) molecules are approximately 80 nucleotides in length. Their secondary structure includes four short double-helical elements and three loops (D, anti-codon, and T loops). The record is from Rfam by way of RNAcentral. Lineage: Eukaryota; Metazoa; Chordata; Mammalia; Proboscidea; Elephantidae.